AUGCGGUCCAGCUGCCGGAAGGAGUGGGACAGUAGGGUGGUCUUCUCCGGGAAGCUGUCGUCCAGCGGCAGCGGGAAGAAGCUGCUGAAUGGCGCCAACACCAGCUGCAGCUUCUGCGAGGAGCGAAAGGGAAAAGACCGGAAACGUUCCCGUGGAGCUACACCUGGGGGUUUCUAAUUAACACCAACACGUGUUCAGGAGUUCGCUCACUCAUCUACCUUUUCCAGCAGCUCCACUCUGUUCCUCAGGCUCUGGACCUCCUCCGUGACGUUUUCCGCCAGGCCGAAGCUUCCUCCUGGAAGGAGACACGCAGACAAAACGCGCAUGCGUCACGAUAUGUAGGCGACCGCGCAUUAGCGGCGACGGAAGGAACGAAUGACUGAAACGCUUCAAAAACCAAAAAUAAGAAUAGGUUAAUAAUAGUAAAAAAAAACAAACAAACAAAAAAACAGUGAAUUUAGCUCAGGGAAAUCAAUAGCAAACGUCAGCGUGUUUUAUUGGGAUUUUGUGUGUCAAACCAACACAACUUGGUGGCAGUUUAUGACGUGCAAGGAAAAAAGAUACAUGGUAUCCAAACUAUUUUUUAUUUAUUUAUUUUUUACAAAUUAAAAUCUAAAAUCUGUACAUUUUAUUUCACCUGGAUAUUUAUCGACAGAAUUUUCUGGCAGUCAUUUCUGGUGCUGCCAGAGAUUAUUCUCCGUUGGUUUUAGGGUCAUUUAGGCCAUUCUGACUGUCGCCAUACUGGCUUCAAUCCAAAGUUUCUGGUUUAAAGCACUUUUGUGUCACAAAAGUGUUUGGGGAUUGUUGUUUUUUUUGGUCCUUUAUUGAUAACAAUAAAUUUGCUGCUUGCUUAUGCAAGCCAAACAUGUGAUUAAUAAAAGACAAGCACUUAAGAGUUAUAUUUUCCAGUUUGAGAAGAACAUCUCUUGCUUGGGAGAAUCAACCCCUAAAAAAACUAAAGCAAAAUAAAUCAUUGGAUCUGUAGUGUUCUUAGACUAUACAAAAUCUUUCCAAGGGCCACAAAUGGAAAAUAAAAUUACUAAAACACCUUUUUUUCUAUACUAAUCUGUAACAAACUACCGACUCCUUCAUAGAACAACUGUAUUAAUGUUGAACUGAAGUUAAACACUUUUUCCACUAAUAAAGCGACUCCUGAAGGUCAGUUGUUGCACUGGACGGCACUUAGUGAUUUAAGAGUAAGCAGAGUUCACUUCGAAGGUGACACUUUUAUUCAAAAUGAUCAUUUAAAAACCACCUUUUUUUUUUUAUCUCUCCCCUUCAACUUCACAAUUAUUCACAACUUUCUGUGACCAAGAAGUGAAAAAGUUCCAGCGGUGCGACCAGAAAUAGGCGAGCAAAACGCUCAAACCCUCCUGUGAAUCGGUAGCGUCUGGCUCAGAGCCCCUCGAAGGGGGGAAUGUUCCUUCCAGAGACGGGGACUCUGACCAGGAUGCGGAUUUAAGAACAACCCCACCACCACCCGGCCUCUCCUUCCACGUCUUUGGUUGCACCUCUGCUGACAGACAGGGAGAUGUUCAAUCUCUCCCAGAUGUGGUCCACACUGGAGUGGAAUAAGCUAAGUAGGAGGCGCAAAAGGGAAAAGAUCGGGAGACGAGGGAGGCGGGGCGGGGGGAACAAACUGGGGUGCAUGACCCCCAGCAGACAGAGUUGAUGGAGCUGGAAUGAGAACACAAGCCCCCGGCCAAGAACAGAGAGGAAGAAAAAAAAAGUAAAAAGGCGGGAGGCUGAAAAGCCUAAAUGCGAUCCAAUGCAUCUUGGCAGAGCGAGAGUCGGCUCCCCGAGCCUCUGUUUACACUCGUGAUCUCCAUCAACAUGCCUCCGACAUGUGUAUAUGAGCAGAUAACAGAAAGACGUCUCUCUAGCGAAAAGGCUCGCAGACGUCCGUCUGCAGGCCCGCGCUUGCAAAAAAAUUUUUUGAAAAAGAAAGAAAGAAAAAAAGAAAAUCUCUAAAUUCUCUUUCAUGUUUUUUGCUCUUCUGUGCGUUUCUCUAGCCGAUCCAUCACGGUCGCCGUGGAGGUGAACCUUCGGAGCUUGUGGUCAGUUGCCAGAAGAAAUUCUGAUAGAUGGAGGGGAGUUUGGAGGAAGAGGAGGAGGAGGAGGAGGAGGAGGAAGGCCUGGGAGAUUUGGCAAUCUCUCGUUUAUGCACAGAUAUUUCUUUUACUCUGAGUGCAGGAGACAGCAUUCUCCCCAUCGUCCAAAUCUCCCCCUUUUGAUUUCACAGUUAGGUGACUCACCAAAAAAAAAAGAAAAAAAGAAAAGGAAAAAUUCCCCAGGCUGGAAAGAGUUGAAGAAAUCAGGAAGAGCUGCGUCUACUUCAAUUU
Molecule: long non-coding RNA, 2342 nt
Organism: Gambusia affinis (western mosquitofish)
Lineage: Eukaryota; Metazoa; Chordata; Actinopteri; Cyprinodontiformes; Poeciliidae
Exons: 2
Source: RefSeq, a predicted model, not a curated record